RNA transcript from Triticum dicoccoides, 1637 nucleotides. RefSeq lists it as uncharacterized. The transcript is spliced from 3 exons. Lineage: Eukaryota; Viridiplantae; Streptophyta; Magnoliopsida; Poales; Poaceae. The record is from RefSeq and is a predicted model, not a curated record.
UCCCGUGAAAGGAGUGAUCGAUGCCGCAAUCCCGGUGCAGCCAAAUCAGUCUGUGCGCGCGCCGUUGUUCUGCUCCGGGCCCUCCUUCCGCCGGCGGCCUCGGACGAGCUGCUCUGUUCCGGUCCUUCCUCGCCAGAUGGCGUCCUCAGAUGCACCAGACGCGGCCAUCGCCGUCGCGGCCCCGAUUCCAGUCGGACGCUCUGCUCCGGGCCUCUCAGGCCGGACGCUCCGGACGCGCCUGAUGCGGCCAUCCCGCGCAACUGAGGAAGCCUGUGCGCAGGCGUUGCCCUGGUACGGCCCCUCCUCGCACAGACAGCCACGAACCAUCUGGGGCAAAAGAAGCCGGCAGCGGCGGCAAGCAAUCCCAUCAGGCCGCGGUACACAAGUUUAAUUCAUCCAUCGUCUCCCAUGCUAUUUUCUAGACGAAUCUGAUUUGUUAAUGUUUGCUCUGGGAAGUCAAACCGAGUUGAAGCCUCCUUCGUCGAUGCUCAUCUCCGUCCAGUGUCUAGAUGGGAAAAAUUGGAGACCUGGCUGCCACCACCGCACCUACAGGACGCCUGCUUGGGAAUCUGAAAAACUCUAUGGCACCAAGUGUGUUGGGCGGACAAAACUGGAGCCCUCGCUGCCGCCACGCGGCCACCUGAUCGGCAAAUCCGAAUCACUCUACAUGUACACCUUCAUCUUUAUUAGGUGUUCAACCAUCUUGCAUAAUUUGGGAUUCUUAUUGACUGUUGCUUCCUACCCGUUCAAUUUGUUGAUGUACCAGAUUCAUGGUGUUUGGAUUUAAUUGGAAGAAGUGGUAAGUGUCUUUCAAUCUGCAAUCAAUUGGAUACAACAAUGAAGAACACUUGAUUUUUUUUUGCAACAGAUUAUAGGCUGCCGCACGCAUAUGUUUAUCUAACUCAAACUAGACGAUGAAUGAUACCUGAGCCAGUCAUGUCGCUCAUCUUGAUCUGCCAUCUCCAUUUUCUCAGUCAGGUUGGAUGUAGAUCUACAUAACUAGAUUUUCGUGAAAUUUUACUCUUUGUAAUGUGCCAUUUGCAGGAAGGCCAUUGCUGCAGAUGGAUCCAAAUAAAUUUCCUGGCAUGUUCUCCACAUUUUCGACUGAUGCUUUCAUGUCAUAUGGCGCUGGAGCAUAUCAAUGAUUUCCUUUUGUUCGGUCAUAUGAAUUCUUAUGAUGAGAUUGGAUUCUUUAUAGACAGGAAUCACCAACACACAUAGUUGAAUGAAAGUAUCACGUAUGUGCUACUACAUUUUUUAAUAGAUUAUGUCCGAUGGGGCUAGCGCAAACUGAUUCUUAUUAUGUAGAAUCAAUAUAUUGCUAUAUCAUGAUUGGUCUUUAUGCCCAGCGAAUAUUGAAUCCGCCUAAAUUGAUCUUAGGAUGUAGUAUAUGGUUCACGAUCCAAGUAGAGAUUACACAAGAAGUCAAGAACUGGUAUUUUUCAGUCGAACUUUUUUCCUCAGUUUGUGAAGAUCUGCAACAUUUAACAUGUGUUUUUCUUAGUUAUGGUGCUUCGAACCAGUUCAAUAUUUAGUAGUCCCUAUUGGAUGUACUAUUAUGUAUUCUCCUGAAAAGAACCAUUGUAUUUGUCAGAUAAGAAUGGACGAGGUUAGUUGAUGCGACACAUUUUCAGUUC